This 253-nucleotide ribosomal RNA is filed under the name uncultured prokaryote. RNAcentral describes it as "partial 16S ribosomal RNA". It matches the Rfam family "Bacterial small subunit ribosomal RNA", at positions 524 to 776 of the family's 1533-position model. The record is from RNAcentral.
UACAGAGGGUGCGAGCGUUGUUCGGAAUUAUUGGGCGUAAAGGGCGCGUAGGCGGUGCCACAAGUCACUUGUGAAAUCCCCGGGCUUAACUCGGGGCCUGCAGGCGAAACUGUGGUGCUGGAGUGUGGCAGAGGGGGGUGGAAUUCCAGGUGUAGCAGUGAAAUGCGUAGAGAUGUGGAGGAACACCGAUGGCGAAGGCAGCCCCCUGGGUCAAGAUUGACGCUCAUGCACGAAAGCGUGGGGAGCAAACAGG